This 464-nucleotide ribosomal RNA is filed under the name Vreelandella stevensii. RNAcentral describes it as "partial 16S ribosomal RNA". It matches the Rfam family "Bacterial small subunit ribosomal RNA", at positions 338 to 795 of the family's 1533-position model. The record is from RNAcentral. Lineage: Bacteria; Pseudomonadati; Pseudomonadota; Gammaproteobacteria; Oceanospirillales; Halomonadaceae.
CCUACGGGGUGCAGCAGUGGGAAUAUUGGACAAUGGGCGAAAGCCUGAUCCAGCCAUGCCGCGUGUGUGAAGAAGGCCUUCGGGUUGUAAAGCACUUUCAGUGGGGAAGAAAGCCUUGGGGCUAAUACCCUCGAGGAAGGACAUCACCCACAGAAGAAGCACCGGCUAACUCCGUGCCAGCAGCCGCGGUAAUACGGAGGGUGCGAGCGUUAAUCGGAAUUACUGGGCGUAAAGCGCGCGUAGGCGGUCUGAUAAGCCGGUUGUGAAAGCCCCGGGCUCAACCUGGGAACGGCAUCCGGAACUGUCAGGCUAGAGUGCAGGAGAGGAAGGUAGAAUUCCCGGUGUAGCGGUGAAAUGCGUAGAGAUCGGGAGGAAUACCAGUGGCGAAGGCGGCCUUCUGGACUGACACUGACGCUGAGGUGCGAAAGCGUGGGUAGCAAACAGGAUUAGAUACCCCGGUAGUC